GCGCUCCAACAGGUCCAUGUAUCUCCUGUACUGAGGACUCUACAUCUGGACACAGUACUCCAGAUGUAUAAGCAAAGCACAUUGUUGUUUGUUCGUGGAUUAAACAAUUCAGCAUUUUGGACCUAAUCUGGAAUGACGUUGCUGCUUUAGGUGGUGUUUUGAUGCUCGGAAGACCACGGGCUACUCAUUGUCUGCAUGCAUCACAGAGAUGGGAGAACUGGAGGAACAGAGAUGUGAAGCUGUCUGCUCAGAGCUGUAGAGGAGGCCAGUGACAAAUCCAGGAAUCCAAGCCAAGGCUCCUAAGUUGCAUUCUAAUUCUCUAAUCAGCACAGAAAUUUGCCUUCUGGCAUUGCGAUGAGCAGGUGUCAUUCUGGAAAAAGGAAAAUACUGUGAAUCCCAGAACUGGAGAAUUUGGCUGUGACAGAUGAAAAAAAAAAGAAAAAGAAAAAGUUUGCUUUAAAAUACAGCUUUUGAAGAAUACGCUACUCCAAAUAAAAACCAAGACGAAGUUGGCUGGUCUGCAAUGAAGCAGACUGUCAGAAUAUUUUCUCAGAAUCUUUGCACUUUGUGUAACAUAUUGCCAUUUAACGAACAGAGGGCAGAGGAUAGCUGAAGCAAACCAAUGCCUGGUUAACGCUGUCUCCUGCCCUUUGCAGUUGUGUGUGUCACCUUCACCACUGUGAACUCUCCUCCCAUGAUGGCUGUCAAAUAGUGAUAAUCAUCAGUUUUUACGACGGGCUUUGGGCUUUACUUCCCCCAAAGGGCAUACACAGUUAAGGUGAUGAAUGCAAAUCUCAUUUAUUUUGUUACAAGCUUGAAGUAAACUCAUUGAAGCAACUGAAAUCAGCAGAAUUGCUUCAGAUUGAGUCUGAAGUAAAGAUCAGUAGAGUUUCACUUUCUACUUUAUAAAUAAAACUUGGGAGAAUCACGCAAUCAUUUUAAUGUCUAUUUUAACAGUUAUGUCACCCCUUAAGUGUUCACCUGGCUAUUAGAUGCAGAUUCCUUUAACAUAAAAGAGCAUAAUUUUGAUUUCUGAUAACCACACUGAGAAAGCUGUGCCAGAAUUACGAAGAAUCAAGACACCACUGGCUUAUUGCUCGAGGACUCCAGGUCUGCUGAGUCUGGUCUUCUGGCUGUUAAAACCAAACUUGCUGUAAAAUCCAUGCAGGAGUUGUACUGCCCACCUUGUAUUCCACUGGAGGUUUGUUCCAACCCAUUACAGUUCUGAUGAUUAUAGUGCUCUGUCUUUCAGACUAAAUUUCAUAGAAUCACAGAACGGCUUGGGUUGGAAGGGACCUUAAAGCUCACUCAGUUCCAACCGCCUGCCAUGGGCAGCUCAGGCUGCCCAGGGCCCCAUCCAACCUGGCCUUGAGUGCCUCCAGGGAUGGGGCACCCACAGCUUCUCUGGGCAGCUGUGCCAGGGCCUCACCACCCUCAUAGUGUAGAAUUUCUUCCCAGUGUCUAAUCUAAAUCUCCCUUCUUUUACUUCAAAGGCAUUAUCCAUUGUCCUAUCACUACGCUCUCCAAUAAAGAGUCCUUCCCUCCCCAGCUUUCCUGAAGGCUCCCUUUAGGAACUGGAAGGAAUUUAUCCAGGGGAAAGAUGAGAACAAUCUCCAAGAUAACGCAUACAGGCUCUGGCUGAGAAAAUGGGGCUUCCCAACAAGAACACAGUGCUCUGAGGUUCAACAGUGUUGGGAGCCUGGCAAAAAUAAGCAUAAUUCCUCAGUUCAGGGCAUGAUGGAGCAAACUAAUUUCGAUGAAGAAAGCGAUAACUUCAGGAUGAACCCCCAGGCACAGCAGCAGUGGUUGUGUGAGAGGAGAAACAAACCCUCCCCUGACGUCACUCGUGCCAGCAGUCUGAGCAGGAGGAAGGUGCAGGAACGCUCCUACAGAGAACUGGGACUGGUUUGUCUCUUUAGAAGGGAGCAAUGGUAUUUUGAACAUUUUUACCACAUCCCAGAGCGCGCGACGGCAUUUUAUGGACUGGGAAUUAUAGAAAUGAAAGACUGUGAGAUGGGAAAGAAUUGCAGGAAGCCACAGAGAGCUGCAACCUAAGCAUCCUGAAAUCUGUGACCAAGCCCCAAGGAUAUCUCUUGUUAUUGCAGCCACCUCCAAUGACUGCUGUUUUUUAUAUGAUUUACCAGCCCCAGUGAGCUCCCCAAGACUGAAUGGGGACAGAUGGGCCUCAAGUUGUGCCAGGGGAGAUUUAAGUUAGAUAUCAGGGAAAACUUCUUUACAGAAAGGGUUGUUAAGCACUGGAAUGGACUCCCCAGGGAGGUGGUUGAGUCACCAUCCCUGGAUGUGUUUAAAAACCAUUUGGAUGUGGUGCUCAGGGACGUGAUGUAGCGGAGUGUUGUUAGUUAGGGUAGUGUGGUUAGGUCAUGGUUGGACUCGAUGAUCUUUAAGGUCUUUUCCAACCUGAGCAAUUCUAUGCUUCUAUGAUUCAGUGAUUUUAGUCCAGAGGAAGAUUCCCAACUGGUUCUGGGUGGUGAACUUUUUGGCUUGUGAAAUGAGUUACAGAAUUCCUAUUUAAAAAACAAAGAAGAUGGUGUAAAUUUGCACCUGGGAGGCAGCGCGUGCUUUGAAAAAGGCAAUUCAAAAAAUAAUGCGCUGGUAUGGAAACUCUGUGAUCUGCAAUUUAAGGCUUUACAGGUAGCAAAUCUUUAUGCUGAGACACGAAACAUGCAUUUAAAAUAAUGACUGUAAGCACAGACCAAUGCAACCAUUAUCUAGCUCAUAUGUGUAAAUACUGAAGAAAUGUAAAAAUUUACCCUCCUCCCCCCAAAUUUUUAAGACCUUAAUUGGUCCUUUUGGGGUUUUUUGGUUUUUUUUGAUACUUUCAAGUCAUGCUACAUUUUGCUGAAGAACAGUUUAGUUUCCCUGUUGUCUGAAUAAGAGUCCCCGGGUCCUGGUCCCGAAUGGUAGUAUUUGCACUGUGCUGGCAGCUGUGUGCCUGUGGUCACCCCAUAGCAAUAUUUAUGGGGAACGUAUACAGUGGCAGUGCCUCUUUCAGAGAACACCAGGAGGAAAAUAGCAUGUGGCCAACCCACACGUAAUUUGUUCUCCUUAGCGGAGGUCUCACAUAGGCAGUACUUAAAUGGCACUUUUUGUUUCUGGGUAAGAUGAAGGUAACUGAUAGAAACCAUUCAAGAGCCUCUCUGGCUGUUGCUUAUGUUCCCUGCAAAGGGCUGAAGGGAACAGCUCUUUGGAGACGUGGCUUUACACUGAACAUACGCUGGGCUGUGUCAUUAUUAAUUCUGCAAAUGUGUUUACAAUGGUUAGGUAAAAUAUUUAGUUACUAUUUAAAUAUUUUGAUGUAUUAUAGCUCAUACCCGAAUUUUAGAUGUCUACUGCACUUAACAUUUCCAAUUUAAAUAACCGGUUUCAUUAAGGUUUUUAGUGAUACAAAUUAAUAACAAAAGGCAGUUAAUGCAGAGUACGGUUAUGAGACCAAAAUACAUGUGGUUUAAAUUUAAAGAAUUAAAUGUUAGCAUUUCCCUAUAGGGAAAGGUUAUUUGGGCAGUGGUGUACUGACAUUAUCACCACCCACGGAGAAGGGGACCUGUUGAUCCUAUUGGUUAAGUACAAAUUCAGAAACGGAAGAAAUGUUGGUCUAGAGGGUUUGCUUGGUGUGAGUGAAUCACACAGGAAAAAUGCUGAUACCUAGAGUAGCUCAGUGACCUUCUUUGAUGGUUAAGAAGAGAAACAAGCACACAAGGUUUCUGUCAAAGUCAGAAGGUUUAGGUUGCUUGCUGGGUAAAAUCGGCCCAGGUUAUUAAUAUAGUGGAAAGUUAAAUGAUGAGCAUGGAAGUAUGAUAAUAAGCGCUGUUGUAAGUGAGACAGAAAUGAUUUUCUGUGGCCAGUGAGAACGAUAAUCCAAAGUGUUAACCAUUGGGCUCGAGGGCUGCUAAGAAAAUAAAUGUGCAAAGUGGAUAAAAUAAAGGCUGAAAGUAUGUUUAAGUAGGUGUUUCUUCAAAGCUUUCUUCAGGAGGGUGUUUCUGGACACUCUGCCCUACUGCUUUUGGCAAGACAUGUCUGUUAUAAUAAAGGUAAGCAUGCGGCUUUCGUUCUAGCAGAAAAUAGUGCUAACUGUAGCUCGGAAUUUAUGUGCUUUUGUAAUAAUUUUCAUGGACUUAGCUAGAAACAAAUCUGUUGAAGGUAACAAUUACUAACUUGGCGCUAUUUGGCGUUAGUUAAAUCUGACAACGUUGGGAUGGCUUCACCUAUUAUUCCUGGAAGAAACUGCGAAAUCGGGUGGUUUUAGGGAGUUUUGUGCGGAUGUGGGACCGCACAGGGAAGGCAGCUCUCAGCAUCAGUGCGUGUAAGUAAAGCUUGGCUCUGACCCUCAGGCUGACAGCUUGGAAAUGGACUGGGCUGAAACGCAGGCUCCGGCGCUCUGCACUUUGGCUCUUGAUAAUUUCUGUGUGAGACCUAAUUUCAAUCUGAAAAGUCAGAAUACAGUGGUUUGCAAUCAGUUUUGCUUUGUUUGAACCUAAAACUCAAAGCAAAACUCUUGGUGUAUAGAACUGUACAAAGCAAAACGUAAGAAAGUGAACCCAAGAGCUCUACAGGCUGAACAAGCUAGUUUCACUUAGCUCUCAAAAUAAUCCCCAUUUUGCAAGUUCACUUUUCAAUUGCACAUGUGGUAGAUGUCAAAAUUGAGCUGGUUUCACUAUGGGUAGUGCAGCUCCAAAGCAUCACACCGUCAGCAAGGUCUCAGCACUUGCUCUCAGUCUCAACUGGUACUUUGGACAUGUCAAGAGAUGAAAGUUUAUCUGUUUCAGCCUGUUCACGUUUGACUUUUGUUCAUCUCUAAGACAAUGAUCUGAAUGUUUCCAGAUCCAGCUCUGAACUCAUUUCCUAAAUCUCUGAUAAUGCUCUUAAUGGCACCCAGUCCUAAAAUGGCAGGAACCACUCACCCCUGGAAGGUCAUCCUUGGCACCAUGUGUGUUCAGUUCAAGGCCAGAUGUUGCAGAGAUGCUGAACAUCUGCUGCUCUUCCUCACUAGCCCACAAGCUGCAGGUGCUCAUGCCACUGCAAACAUCACACGCCUACUCCCCAGGCACUCUUAUUCAAAAUGAAGCAAUGAACAGCCCUCUGCUUUGCUUUAGCUUUCUGUAAAACCAUAGUGCAGUGGGCUAGAAACAAACAUACGAGCCGUGCCCAUACAGUGGCACUUCUAGCAGAGCAUUGCUGAGUGUUUGGGAGUUCAGACUAGUCAGGGUACCUCCUUUCAUGGAAUCACAGAAUCACAGAGUCAUUAAGGUUCAAAAAUACCACUAAGACCAUCUAGUCCAACCACCAAUUCAUCCCCACCAUACCCACUAACCAUGUCCCUCAAUGCCACGUCUACACAGUUCUUUAAUACCUCCUGGGACAGUGCCUUCCUGGGCAGCCUGUUCCAAUGCUUUACCACUCUUUCUGGGAAGAAGUUUUUCCUAAUAUCCAACCUGAACCUCCCCUGGUGCAACUUGAGGCCAUUCCCUCUCAUCCUAUCGUUGUUGCCUGGGAGAAGAGACCAACCCACACCUUGCCAUGACCUCCUUUUAGGCAGUUGUAGUGAGCAAUAAAGUCUCCCCCGAGCCUCCUCUUCUCCAGACUAAACAAUCCCAGUUUCCUCAGCCACUCCCCAUAAGACCUGUAUUCACUGAGCAGCUGAUCCAUUUCCUUCCCUGAUUUCCAAAAAAAUAUUGAGAGACUGACCUCCUGAGCUCCCAGAAUGACCGCUGAUGGAAAAGCGAGGCCCUGGCAGCAGUGAGGCUGGGUGAGUCAUCAUCUGGAUGUAGAGCUCAGCCUCUGGCAGCUUUGUUAAGAACUGAGGACUAGAGAGAUGUUCAAAAGAAAUAUAGUAUCUGAUCAUCAGUGAUCUGAUGUGCGUAUAUUUUUUUUAUUCAGGAAGCAGAUGUCAAAUUCUCAUGACGAACCAGGACCUGGAAAAGUGCUGAGUGCCAGGGGAAUGGCUGAACUUGAAAAUAUAAGGAUAUCUGGGUUACAUAAGGAUUGUAUUGCAAGUGGAAUUUACAAUAUAAUGGCUCACCUCUGCACAAGAGUGAGCCUUGUCAUGUGCAAGCAUAUGUUACAGGGAAAUCCACUGGGCUGUUGACGGAAAGCAAAUAUUAUGUGACCCUGAAUCUCACUUGGUAUUUUAAACCAUAAGAGUUUCAGAUUUGAGUCACAGUAAGUCGGAUAUACAUAUGUGUGUAUAUAGAAGCUUUUAAGCUCUGAGCAAGGCUUCUGCCUUGGCAAUAUUUUCACUUCAAAUUGCACAUUUGGUCCUCUGUUCUUGUAAAUCAUUGUAGCCUCAAUCCGAAGUCAGAAGUCAGAUGAGAGGCUUCCAAACUUUGGCAAGAAAUCCAAUGCAGAAACCUUUACAAUCUUCUCUUUUCUACUCUGGCCACUUUGAGCUCCAGAAUCCAAAUUCCACCCACCCAUCUUGCUUCUUCACAGGGCUUCCUGCAUAGAGGUGACAUCAGGAUCUAUCUGACGCCUUAUUUGCCCCUGUGGAGCUUUCAGUCGGAGCAGAUACGUUCCUAGCACUGCAUGGAGAACACCCCCAGCCCAGGGUGGAACACUCCUCUGUCAGAGCAAGAGCUGGAGAGGCUGGCACGCGAGAGGCACACAUGGGGAAAGAUCUGUUUUCUUUUUUUAAUUCAGCACUUUGACCUGAAACACCGAGGCGAGCCGUGCAAAGGGCUGCCUGCAGAGUAGAAUGCUGCAAGUUUAAGGACUCAUUUUUAGUAACAAAGCCCAGACUAUUAGCCCUGCCAUUUUUCCACUGCUGGAGGAAAACGUGGACUCUUGCUGAGUUUGUACGUAGCCUAAUCCUUAUAGAAUGACAUGGAUCAUAGAACGACUUGGGUUGGAAGGGACCUCAAAGAUCAUCUAGUUCCAGCCCUGAAUGCCCAGGUGUGAUUACUGGAGUGCUGAUACAAACUUUAUAAACAGAAAGGCUGCAUGGGACAUACCUUUAGGAACCAGCCUCUUCCCAUAAUGCUUGAUGACUUGUUCAAUUCCUGUCCAGUUAACUGGUUUUUACAUUUCUCAGAAGUUUCUUCAGUUCUGCUUCCUUUUUCUUUCCACUGUGACAUUGCCACCAGUUCAAUGGCUUGAGUUGCUCUGGUAUGUUCAAACUCAACGCCAGAACCUUCUCUUCUCUCUUAGAGCCAAAUCCAGAGUGACUGAAAGGUUUUUAUGGACUUCAGAUUUCAGACUGUGCUCAUGUCUGAAAGAAACCCUCACAGACACUAACGAGCCCCAACCUUCCUCACGGCAUUUGUGCUGCCUCACCUCUACCAGCACAAUUUGAUGUCGUCGCUGAGCGAUGCUUUGACUCACUGGGGUUUUGCCUGCAGACUCAUUUCUGCCUCCUCUGCUCAUUUUGCACUGGAUUUACUCUCACUGACUUGCGUGAAGAAGUACUCCAGGGGAUUAAAUGUGGUGGAACCUUUCCCCACACAGUGCCUUGAGAGCCACGUCUCACGCAUGAUCUGGAGGAGACCUCUUGAGACACAGAUAUUGAUGAUAUUUCUCCCAUUCAGUGAAGUAGAUGCAUUAAAAAUAUCCAAAGGUGAAGACACGUAGAAAUCUGGCUUUGAAAGUCAAAGCUGAUGCAGCACAAGCUGAGCUGUACAAGUACACGGGUUUUGUACAGCAAGACGUCAAACACAAACCUGUGAGGCCUGUCUCCACUGCACUGUACUCGGGGUGGAAACUUUGUCAGCCAUAGUCAUACUCAGCAAAAUAUGCAUCUCACGUUGGCAGUGGCAAUGAACUUCUUUUUUUCUUCCAUAGAAAUCUGCAGAAGAUGACCAACUAGGUAGUUAAAGCAUUUCUACUUUUCCAUCAUUGGAAUAAUUUUACUCAUACUUUCUCAGCAGAAAAAUAAGUGGUACCUGGGGAACCACCUCACAAAAAUGAAACUUCAUCCAAGUGGGCAAAACAAUGUGAUUAUCUGGGUAGAGAAUGCAGUAGAUUCCAUGUACAUGGGUGGAGAACAUUUUAUUCUCCGAAUGAGAGAUGAUUGCUCUGGAAAACCUGCUGGGUCACUUUUAAUUACUAAAAGAGCAAAUUCAUGGUUUCCUCAUGGACCAGUCACACUGCAUAGUAUUUUCUCUUUUUUUGUUCUAUUUAAGCUUAGACUGAUUAAUCAGACUUCCUGGCAGUGGUUGUAAGAGGAAGAUGACUGAGAAUUUAGUAGGUGAGUUAAUUCUCAUUUUUACUGUGUCUCAAGAGCCACCCACUUUCCCUUCACAUGACUCGACACCAAGAAGCCUUUACAAGUUUUGCAGAGACCAACCUGUUGACCUUCUGCUCUCUUCCAUCUUUUAUCUCAUUUUUGCUGCUUCCUCAUUUUCUUUGGCACAUUUCUCAUUUUUUAGCUCCUCUCACCAGCAAAACCCCAUCUCCAGCUCCAUACUCUGGACACGAGUGACAUGGCUUAGUGGCCAUGGUGGUGAUGGGUUGAUGGUUGGACCAGGCAGUGGUCUUUUCCAACCAUAAUGAUUCAGUGAUUCUGUGAACGUGCUCUUCAUGACAAUAAGGGAUUGCUCAAACAUCACGACUACUGGAGUGCCAUGGGUUUGUAUAAUGGGUGAGCACAAGCUGUUGUUGAUGCCAUUCUCUGUGUUGAAACAUUAUGGCUCCUUCCCCCUGCAGUGAUCUUGGUAACAUAAUGACAUUGGUUCACACCACAGCCCUGCUGUCAAUUGGGGUGCCUGUAGACAUCAUGUGUUUAUUUUCUCCUGUUCUGUUGAUUAUUUUCACACAGAUUUUAGAAAAGAAUCACUUUGAGACCUCUUUUGCAUUUAGCUUGCCUGGAAUGACGUGCAUCAAUGAAAUCCUUACACAUGAUAAAUGAGUGACAAUCUCUGUCCUCUGUUCUCAUCAGACUCUGCCCUGUUACUGAUAGGCAGCCAGGUGUUUCUUCUACCAAACCUAAAGCUGCAAAACUGGGCCAUCUCUCAUUGACAAAGAAUUCAGCCUUUUUGUUUCUACCGAAGUGGAAAACAAUUCCUUGAGGGCUUCUGCCUCCCUGGUUUCUGAGUUCAGAUAUCCAUUUUUAGUGAUUAUGGACCUUAAGAAUUCCCACAAUUACAGUUCUGCAAAUAGGAAGCGAUAGUGAGAUACGAUCAUUGAGCGUGGUCCUGUCGUGUUUGUGGGUUGUGUGGUCUUCUCUAAACAUCCAGUAAACACAGUGUCCCACCACAGCUGAUUUUUCCCUGCAAUAUAUUAUCUUUAAUAAAUCCAAAGCUGUACAACUUGCCCGUUGCCCUCCCACUGCAUUUCUGUCUUCUGAGAACAAAAAUUCAACCUUUUUUUUCUUUUUUUUUCUUUUUUUUUUUUGACUGGUGGAGACAAUAUAUAUGCUUUUAACAUGCUCUUAUUAUCCAGCUGCAGAAAGUCUUCCAGUGUGCAAGCACAGAAGACGUAUUUAUGUGUCUGGUCAUCUCUGGAAUGCAUGGCUGUGAUGCGAAAGGCUGGGAAACUCUUGUGGGACAGGAUGACUGCUGGUGGUGGCCUGACAGCCCCAGCAGACGCAUAGAAAGAAGGAAAACUGAUGUCUCUGUGGUGUUGAGGCACACUGGAGGGAUGCUCUGUGCACCCCAAAAUUCAGAAAGUUUGUGAGGGGAGGUCUGCAAUGCAGCAUCCACACUGGUAGGACUCUGAUAUGCUUCCUCCGUGGUCUUCAACAUGAUGGGGGCCUGGGGUCAACGUGGCCCUGGCUGGCAUCUCCUGUGUUCACCCCUCGGUGCCCUGCUCAGCAGUUUGCAGGAUGGGGUUUCUGCUGGCUGAAGAGGAAAAAACCCAUUUGCGCAGGAUUCCUCUGUGUGCAAAAGGCCUGCUAGAAAAUUGCCGGAGCUAAAAUGAUCACACAUGUCCUUCAGCUUCGGAGAAGGGAGCUCUAAAUGAGAGCAUGUGUGCUCCGAUCCCGGGCUGAGAAAAUGUCAGUCUGAGGCGCUUGGGAAGUUCCUAUUGAUACAAGCAGGGAGGCUCCCUGCUGCCCACAGAUUUCCCACAUAAAAGUCCUACUGGUAGCCGUGGGAACUUCGCAGCAGCCACGCUGUGGCUAAAGUCACCGCUCCGAAAAUGCAGCGAAAUUAGUGUUCAUAAAAGUGAAAAACAUGCCACAAGAAUGAAGACGUCCUGAUUCACAGCCAUGGAAAUUACACGAGUUCUGGCAUUAAAAAAAAAAAAAAAAAAAAAAAAAAAGCCAAAUUUUACAGCUAUCCUGGCAGCAGGAAGGGAUGGCUGGUGAAUUUUAAAAAGGCCUCUUUGAGCAAAAAGCCUUGCCUUAUCACGAAUGAUUUUACUGCACUAAACCAACAAAAAACAGCCCAUUUUGCCCCAUGGAAAAGGCAGGCCCUGUGUUGCACAGUGACCUCUAAGUGAAGCGGAGCACUUUGCUCCAGAACCUGUGAAAUGAUUUCCAGCAGCUGGUUUGUUCCUAAUUUCAGUUCUGCCUUCCGAGCUGACCGUCACCUCCCCCAGCCUGUGCCAAUCCCUUCAUGUAUUUUCAAGGGAAAUUAAAAAAGAACACAAAACAAACAUGGCAGGGUAUGAUGGAGCAGCAGACUUGUUCCAGUGUAAAUUGAACAUGAAGCUGGGACCCAGAGGAGAAGGCAAUGCUGGCAGUAAUACAGCUGGUCUAGCUUAUCAUUUAGCACCAUUUGCCAUCUGAAGUUCCCUUUUUUGACUUUUUCUGCUACAAUUACUGUAAGCAGAAGGGGUGACAACUCUGGUAUUGACUCUUGCUGCUUGACUUUGGGAGAUCCCCAAGGAGGAGACCCCACAGCCUCUGGGCAGCCUGUGCCAGUGCUCUGUCACUGCACAGCACAGAAGGGCUCCUGGUGUUCAGAGGGAACCUCCUGUGCUCCAGUUUGUGCCCAUGGCCUCUGGUCCUGGCACAGGGCACCACUGACAGAGCCUGGCUCUGGCCUCUUGCUCCUCAGGCUCCAUCCACCACACACCAUCCUGCCGACCCCCUGCCAAUGUGUGUCCAGGCACCUCCUCCCUCCCCCAGCCCCACACCCAUGCUGGCAGCAGCUUAUGACAGUGUAAAAAUAAAACAGGAAAUGAUCUCUGUGGGGGUUGUGGUGGCAGGCAGAGAAGUAGCGUGGCUCUGAAGAGCAGUCGUGCCUUCAUGCAAGCGCUGAGGCCCUGCCAAGCAUUACAGGGGGAUGUUUGCUUGGCCUUUCGAGUGAUGGAGGGCUUCACUGUGGGUGCCCAGCCCUGGCCUAUUGCCAGCAUGUGCUUAAAGCACAAGGGUGCAGCUCGCACUCUGGCCUCUAUAGAAUCACAGAAUCAUUAAGGUUGGAGAAGAUCACUGGGAUCAGUCCAACCACCAACCAUCCCCACCAUGCCCACUCACCACGUCCGUCAGUGCCAUAUCUACAUGGCUCUUGAGCACCUCCAGAGAUGGUGACUCCACCACCUCCCUGGGCAGCCUGUGCCAACGCAUUACCACUUUUUCUGAGAAUAAAUUAUUUCAAAUAUCUAUCCCCAGCCUCUCCUUGUGCAACUUAUGGCCAUUUCCUCUCAUCCUGUUGCUACUACAUGGGGCAAGAGGCUGACCCCCUCCUUACCACAACCACCUUUCAGGGAGUUGUAGGGAGCGAUAAGGUCUCCCCUGGGCCUUCUCUUCUUCAGACUGAACAAUCCCCUCGCCCUGAUCUCACAACUGCCUCCUGGUGUUGUCUGCCCCCAGAUACUUGCAUUUGGCUCAGGAGAUGGUUCACUUGCAAAUUCUGGUGCUAGGUAGCGUUUGGGCCUGAUUGCUGAACAAAACACCUGCCAACCCUGCUAUUUCUGCUGGGAAGAAACAUUAGCAUCUGGCUGAAUUACUAAAUGGGGAGUGUUCAGAUGUGCUUGCCUUUCAUGUCUCUCUAUGACUCUCUGAGCUCCUCAGAGAGUCAUAGAAUCAAAGUCUCUACCCCUUUGUUGUGGGCAAUGUCACCUACCAGCCCAGGCUGCCCAGGGCCCCAUCCAACCUGGCCUUGAAUGUCUCCAGGGAUGGGGCACCCACAGCUUCUCUGUACUAGUGCCUCACUGCCAUCUGAGUAAAGAAUUUCCUCCUAACAUCUGACCUAAAUCUCUCUUCUUUCAACGUAAAACUGUUCUCCCUUGUCCUGUCACUGUCAGACUGUGUAAAAAAUCAGUCCCCUUCCUGCUUGUAAGCUCCCUUCAAGCACUGAAAGGCUGCAGUGAAGUCACCCUGGAGUCUUCUCUUCUACAAGCUAAACAAGCCCUACUCCUUCAACUUUUCUUCAUAGAAGUGCUCCAGCCCUCUGAUCAUCUGAGUGGCCCUCUUCUGAACCUGCUCCAACUGCUCUGCAUCCUUCUGUACUGGGGGCCCCAGGCCUGGACAUGGUACUCUGAGUGGGACCUCAAAAAAGCACAGCAGAGCAGGGACAAUCCCCCUCCCACUCCCUGCUGGCCACCCUUCUUUUGAUGCAACUCAGGGUACUGUGGGCAAACUGUAUCCAAACUCAUCCUGGCUGUUCUCUCCUGGACACCACCGGGGAGGGGAAAGGGCCCUGGUGAGCACUGCCCCAGGAGUUUCUCAGGGCAAAAGAUUCUUCUGGGCAUUAGAAAGCUGAGUGUUUCCUUGGAGCUCAUGCCUUGGGCUUGGAAAUGGCCUUUGAGUCUGCUUCCGCCAGCUUUGUGUUUAUAGAGAACAUUUAUUUCUUUCCAGCUGGGUCAAGUGUUUUUUCCUGUAGCACACAAAUGCUUGGAAUAGAGGUUCAAAUCCUUCUCUGCCUUCAAACACAAACAUACCCUAUCUGGGUCAGGAAGUCCCUGACCUGCAAAUCACUGGAGGCUGACAGAGCAUAUCGUGGUAGUUUUAUUGUAGGCUUGCCCUCGCCUUGUGCUCUUCCCUCGGCAUCUGCUAUUGCCAGCAUUACAGACAAGACAUUGGGCUGGAGGGACUUUUGGUCCAACCUCCUGUGGAUGUUUUUAUGGCCUUUUGUCUUUAUCCGUGGCCUCUGGAGUCUAAUAAAGAUUUUGUAAAUACAAAGAAUUUGCUGUGAUCUAAGAAGUUGGGAGCAUGGGAGGGCCCCCAAAAGAGCCUGGCACUGAGGGAGCCAUGGCCUGAUAAGAGCAGUGGGUGUGUGGAGAGUGACAAUGGAACAGCUUCCAGUGCCUGUUGGUUCUUGGAUAGAUGGUCUUCAAUGGGCAAUAAAAGUAAUUGUUUCUGGACACUUCUUAGCAUACAUUUCUCCACGAGGUAUAUGAUUUCAUAGUUUCAUACAAUAUGCGAUUUAUCAUUCAGGUUUACUUCUAGCACCAGACCACAGCCUCACUGGAAAGAGCUGAUCUACCUAUUUUACUUUGCUUCUUAAUUGGUUUCUUCCAAGGAUAAUGAGCUCCCUAAAGAUGUCCAGUUCCCCUUGGCCAAGCCCUGAAGCUCUCAGAUAUCCUUACUGCACCAGAAAAUGCCAGGGGGGUGAGAUGGCUGAGAAACUGUCCCCAACAUUUUCGCUGUGCCCGACCCUCUUUGAGACUUCUGAUUGGGGGGGAGAGGAAAGAAGGGCAAAUUUGUUCCCACCGGUGGUGUGAAAAAAACAAAAAUCAUCAGACAAGGAUUUUUUAAAGAAUGUGUUCCUUUUUUGACCUUUCCCCACUUCUUACAAGCCUAGAAAAAUCCCCUUCAACACGUUAUUAACCCUGCAAGAAAUGCUGUUCUCUUUUUCAUCAGAUGAUGCUACGUGCCUUAGAACUGUGGUUUCCAUGUCCUGCACCAAAGCUGCUUCAUAGAAUCAUGGAAUCACAGAGUGGUUCAGGUUGGAAGGGACAUUAAAGCCCAUCCAGUUCCAAUGCACUGCUGUGCGCAGUGCUGCCACUCACCAUGUCAUGCACUAGUUCAGGUCGGGUCAAUUGACCUUCACUUGCUUCACUGCAAUCACUGCUCCUUGAUUUGAGGUUUGAGCACUGGCAGAGGUAAUGAAGAUUUGAAGAUUCUGAUUUUAAUCAGAAUGAGCAAAGUACAUGGGCCUGCUUAAAAAUGAAAUGUGAUAUUUAAGCUCAGAAACAGUCUGUUCAAAGUCAUUCAUAUGUGGAUGUAAAACACAACUGAAAAGAAAACACUUCACAUUGAAAAAUGCUGCCUUCUCACCAGGGUGAUUGAAAUGGAGAUUCUGCUCAGAAACUCAAAAACAGCCCAGAAAUGACCCCUCAACAAUGUGUGGAAAACUCCAGCUUCUACUAGAAAGCCAGAAAUACCUGAACACAAGCAAGUACUCUCAAAACUCUUAUGGAUGUCUAUGCACACAUCUUCCUUGCCUAUACUAUAGGGAUGCUUGUUAUUCAUUGAAUGAGGGAGGCAGCAGUCACUGAAAGUCAAUAGGAAAAGUGACUCCAGCUACUUUUAGGUGAGAUCACCUCAAGUACCGCAUUCAAUUUUGGGUCCCUCACUACAAGAAAGACAUUGAGACCCUGGAGCAUGUCCAGAGAAGGGUAAUGAAGCCACAAAGGGUCUGGAACACAAGUCGUAUGG
Gallus gallus (chicken) is the source of this 14494-nucleotide long non-coding RNA. RefSeq lists it as uncharacterized. Lineage: Eukaryota; Metazoa; Chordata; Aves; Galliformes; Phasianidae. The transcript has 8 exons. The record is from RefSeq and is a predicted model, not a curated record.